CAACGUGGGGAACCUGCCCCAUAGUCUGGGAUACCACUUGGAAACAGGUGCUAAUACCGGAUAAGAAAGCGGAUCGCAUGAUCAGCUUUUAAAAGGCGGCGUAAGCUGUCGCUAUGGGAUGGCCCCGCGGUGCAUUAGCUAGUUGGUAAGGUAAAGGCUUACCAAGGCGAUGAUGCAUAGCCGAGUUGAGAGACUGAUCGGCCACAUUGGGACUGAGACACGGCCCAAACUCCUACGGGAGGCAGCAGCU
This 250-nucleotide ribosomal RNA is filed under the name uncultured Lactobacillus sp. Its description in RNAcentral is "partial 16S ribosomal RNA". It matches the Rfam family "Bacterial small subunit ribosomal RNA", at positions 113 to 355 of the family's 1533-position model. The record is from RNAcentral. Lineage: Bacteria; Bacillati; Bacillota; Bacilli; Lactobacillales; Lactobacillaceae.